This 274-nucleotide ribosomal RNA is filed under the name uncultured bacterium. Its description in RNAcentral is "partial 16S ribosomal RNA". It matches the Rfam family "Bacterial small subunit ribosomal RNA", at positions 523 to 796 of the family's 1533-position model. The record is from RNAcentral.
AUACGGAGGGUGCAAGCGUUAUCCGGAAUCAUUGGGUUUAAAGGGUCCGUAGGCGGAUAAUUAAGUCAGGGGUGAAAUCCCACAGCUCAACUGUGGCACUGCCUUUGAUACUGGUUAUCUUGAGUUAUAGGGAAGUAGAUAGAAUAUGUAGUGUAGCGGUGAAAUGCAUAGAUAUUACAUAGAAUACCGAUUGCGAAGGCAGUCUACUAUCUGUAUACUGACGCUAAGGGACGAAAGCGUGGGGAGCGAACAGGAUUAGAUACCCGAGUAGUCC